Molecule: long non-coding RNA, 2845 nt
Filed under: Homo sapiens (human)
Lineage: Eukaryota; Metazoa; Chordata; Mammalia; Primates; Hominidae
Description: non-protein coding lnc-OTOP1-6:5
Source: RNAcentral
CGCCCUAGGAGAACGCGGGGACAGAACUCUUGCUGCAGAGUUUCGAGCGCCGCUUCCUGGCGGCGCGCUCACUGCGCUCCUUCCCCUGGCAGAGCUUAGAAGCAAAGUUAAGAGACUCAUCAGAUUCUGAGCUGCGGCGGGAUAUUUUGCAGAAGCCCUCGGGAGGCUCGGUCACACUCUCCAAGAGCACAGCCAUCAUCUCCCACGGCACCACAGGCCUGGUCACAUGGGACGCUGCCCUCUACCUUGCAGAAUGGGCCGAGAACCCAGCAGCCUUCACUCACAGGUGACCUCGGGGCGCAGGGCAGGGCACCGAGGCAGGCUUACCCUGGUGCAGUCACAGACACGGUCCCCUUUCCUCCCACCAGGACUGUCCUAAAGCUUGGCAGUGGCGCCGGCCUCACAGGCCUGGCCAUCUGCAAGAUGUGCCGCCCCCGGGCGUACAUCUUCAGCGACUGUCACAGCCGGGUCCUCGAGCAGCUCCGAGGGAAUGUCCUUCUCAAUGGCCUCUCAUUAGAGGCAGACAUCACUGCCAACUUAGACGGCCCCAGGGUGACAGUGGCCCAGCUGGACUGGGACGUCGCGACGGUCUGUCAGCUCUCUGCCGUCCAGCCAGAUGUUGUCAUUGCAGCAGGUAAUGCCCAGCCCCGGGCAUCCUGUGCAGGCGGUGUCCUUGCAGCUCUACCCAGCUCUUGGCUCUGGGAAAAGGGAACAAUGGAUGCUGUCAGGCAUGGACAUGAUGGGGCUUCCAGAAGAGUUACUCUGGGCCUCCAGGCUGACAUCAAAGGACAGGGGUGCCUCUUAAGGUGACCUUCAAGCCACAGCCCUCUUGCUGGAGACAGGCAUACUCCCGUUCCAGUUGUCACCACAUGGCUCUGUCCCAGAGCCAUGCCCUGUGUCCUUCAGAGACCACCGGAGGAAAACAACCACUUCUGGGAUGAGGACAGGGCACUUGAGAGAAGGUGGUGUUUGGCUGGGCCACCGAAAACCCCUCGCCCCUGCCAGCACACUCAGUCCCCUCUCUGAUGGAACAGAGCUCUGCCUGUGGUCCUGGGUCCCAGCCCUGAAAACCACAGGUCCAGCGGUGGCCAGGGACACAGGCCCACCCCUGCAAGCCAGCAGACAAAUCAGCGGAUACCUGAAACACGAAGUUCAUGGCAGAUUCAGGCUUUGUGUCAUUCAAAGCCCUCUAGAUAGGCCGAAAACCAGAGCUGGUUUUUUAAGGAACACCAGCCAGGCCAGGAUCAGAUGGGAAGUGGAAGCUUGUCAUGACCAGAAACUGUUUCCCUACAAAGAGCACUUGGAGAUGGCAAUGCUGAACCUAAUACUGUAGGACUCACACGCGACUUCAACGGGAUUGUGAGGAUCAAGUCACUCUCAUGGGAAGAAUUUUUACAUGGGAAAGCGGAUAAAACUUUCAUUGGACUGGAAUGUUUGGAGAAUAUUAAUUUCCAAAUCAGGAACCACAAACUGCCCUCUAAUAAGACAUCGGCUAUCUAAGCGUGUGGGUGCCCCCUUUCUGCCAGCAGUUCUGGUUCUUAAGAAAAUCACCAUAAAUCAGACAUGAAAAUUCUGGCUCUAAAAAUAGCAUUUUCUUUGUGCAAAUAAAAACGUGUGUAUCAAGUAUGAUGUUCCCCCAACGUGGACACACCCGGUUCCUCACAAAGCCAAGCCCGCUGCAGCUGCCACAUCCCUGGGCUUACUGUGCAGCAGGUGCUUUUUUCAAGACAGGAAUCAAAAUAUUAGGAACACGGCAGAAAGGCGACACCUGGAGACCAAACGCAGGAUGAGGAGUACUGCAGAGGUCACAGGGAAGUCACAGAACAGUAGUACGCUAGCAGGGGCAUGGGGCGUGAAGAACAGAAGAAGAGAGGAAGUGUUUCCAAGCCUCCAAAAAAGAAAUCAGAGCCAACCACAGCUUCCCGGGUCACAGAAGCAAUUCACUCACCAGGCGGCACCACUGCCGUCAUUUCAGCUUCUGGCCACUGGGAGGCGCUGCUUGAAAGGGUUUGCCCUGAGACUCCAAGAAGAAGCUGCGGGAAGGACAGCAGGGGCCCUGGGGUUUUAGCCUCUGGCCCAGGAGUUAUGUGUCCAUAACCAAAGGGAGCACAGUCUGCACCCAGCUCUCAUCCCAUCGGAGCUGCUGCGACUCCCGCAGGUUCUUCCGGAACAGGUUUAGCUUGCCUGCAGGAUCAGGAAAGUUUGAGAAAAGCAUCUGCAUAAUACUAAAGAGCAGAGCUUACCUCAUUGCCUGUCCCCACCGCAUCCCAGGUCACCACCUGGCUGACCCCAGGUGCCCGACCCAACAACAACCCCUACCAAGUUCUUAACUCCCUCACUUGGACUCGAGACUCUUCACGCCCCAGCAGCGCUCCGCCUCCAACUUGACAUCACGCUUUCUGGGAACUUCCCCGCAUGUCCCACUUUCCCACACUUGGUGUCCUGGGGCACCUCCCGGCCUCUUCAUGCUGUAUGCUCCCCUGCGAGCACCCUCCUCUUGGCCUCUGGCCAAGUCCCACCCAUCUGUGGGUAACAAGGGGGUGUCGGUGUUCUUUUCAGCCUUGCUAAACUGUCUGAAUCAAGGAUCACAAACUACAGCCUGCAGGCCAAAUCCAGCCCACAGCCUGUGUUUGUAAAUAAAGAUUUAUUGGAACAAAGCCACACCCCUUAAUCUACAGAUGAUCUGUGGCUACUUUCACACCCCAACAGAGUACCAUGGUUCUGACAGAGACUAGGGGACCCAGUCUAAAUGACUUCCGACUUGGACCUUUACUGAAAAUCCUGCCAGUCAUUCUGUUGGCAAGAACGAUGUAUUACUUUUUGCAAUAAGAAACAAGUAACAUUU